CAGCCGUAAACAAUGUGCGUUAGGUGUGUCGGUAACCACGUGUUACUGAUGCGCCGAAGAGAAAUCGUGAAACGCACCACCUGGGAAGUACGGUCGCAAGGCUGAAACUUAAAGGAAUUGGCGGGGGAGCACAACAACGGGUGGAGCUUGCGGUUUAAUUGGAUUCAACGCCGGAAAUCUUACCGGGACCGACAGCAACAUGAAGGCCAAGCUGAAGACUUUGCCGGAUUAGCUGAGAGGUGGUGCAUGGCGUAGUCGUGU
Molecule: ribosomal RNA, 261 nt
Filed under: uncultured archaeon
Lineage: Archaea
Description: partial 16S ribosomal RNA
Rfam family: Archaeal small subunit ribosomal RNA
Source: RNAcentral